CCUACGGGAGGCAGCAGUGGGGAAUAUUGCACAAUGGGGGAAACCCUGAUGCAGCGACGCCGCGUGAGUGAAGAAGUAAUUCGUUAUGUAAAGCUCUAUCAGCAGGGAAGAAAAUGACGGUACCUGAGUAAGAAGCCCCGGCUAACUCCGUGCCAGCAGCCGCGGUACUACGUAGGGGGCAAGCGUUAUCCGGAUUUACUGGGUGUAAAGGGAGCGUAGACGGCAGUGCAAGUCUGGAGUGAAAGCCCGCGGCCCAACCGCGGGACUGCAUUGGGAACUGGCGCGCUGGAGUGCCGGAGGGGUAGGCGGAAUUCCUAGUGUAGCGGUGAAAUGCGUAGAUAUUAGGAGGAACACCAGUGGCGAAGGCGGCCUACUGGACGGGGACUGACGCUGAGGCUCGAAAGCGUGGGGAGCAAACAGGAUUAGAUACCCUGUAGUC
Molecule: ribosomal RNA, 439 nt
Filed under: uncultured bacterium
Lineage: Bacteria
Description: partial 16S ribosomal RNA
Rfam family: Bacterial small subunit ribosomal RNA
Source: RNAcentral